CUUAAUUAACAACAAUAAAAAUUGAUUUUCAAAAAUUUAAUUUGAAAAGAAGUUUACCACUGUAAUACAUGUGGAUGAAUAAUAAUUUCCAAAAAUAACUUUUAUUAAUGGUUACCUAGCACCUUCGUAUUUCUACGUUACCAUUUUCAUUCAUGUACUUCUAAUUGAUUUACUUUGAUCACGAAUGUAUAAUUUGUAAUUAAUUGAUUUUGCCAUGACAUGAAUUCUUAAUUUGAUAAUGUAAACACACGGUGUUCGUUACUAUGUUCCAUAUAUUAUUAUUUUUUUUUUUUUGGGUAUGUUUAUAUCCCAUGUGUGCAACUGCAUAUGGGUUAAUAAAUAAGUUCACCACUAUACAAAGGUAUGGAUGAAUACUACUUUCACAAAAUCAAUUUCAUUAAUGAAAUCAAAUUACGACAGUAGAUUUGUACAUAAUCAUUUUGAUUCUUGUAAAUUUAAUUGAAUUCUAAUUUGAUUAUGAAUUUAUAAUUUACAUAAAAUUGGCUUAAUUUGAAAACUUAUUCUUAAUUUGAUUCAUGUAAACACACGGUGUUCAUGCCUUUUUUAUCUGUUAGGUUUGAAAAGGAAUUUAGAGAUUUACCUUUCUAUUGAGAUUCUUAGACAAUGAAACCAUAAUUUGUAGGGUGCAGUACGGUUAAUAUUAAAUGAAUGAAAUAAUAAGUUUGUAUACCCAUCAUAUGAAAUUUGUGCAUCAGCGUGUUCAUUUCAUGUUUAACCUGAAGUAUGGAUAUCAUAAACUAAUGACUACUAUGAUUCAUUGUUACUUUCGAAUGUUUGUCGUUCAUAGCAUGGCUUCGUUUACCUCUAGUGCAACUUCCAGUACAUGGCCACGUCGAAUGUGUGCCUGUGGACAUGGCCCCUAUAUUGUUAAGAUUUCAAGGUCCACCAAAAACCCAGGGCAUCCCUACUUUGCAUGUCCUCGCCCUGUGGUGAGUGCCCAAUUCAUUAUCGGUCAUAACUACAUGAACAUUAAGAACCCGUUGACUAAUAAUUUCAUCAUUUGCACUCGUUAGCCUUGUGUCAGUUGGAUUGGUUGGUGCGAAGAACCAAGGCGAGAGAGCACGGACUAUGCGUCAUCCAGAGACGAAAUUGUCAUGCAAUUACGGGAUGAUGUCAUACACAUUCAACAUUCCUUGUGUGUCGUUAAGACCAUUGUCUAUGUGCUAUGCAUUGUCGUUGUCAUUUUGUUGUUGCGUAUGUAAGCAACAUUAGGAUGUUGGUAGUAUGUACAACCAAGUUACGAGGUUAUUAGUAUGUUAGUAGUAUGACUAUAAUCUUGCUUUGCGUUCCUCCACUAGGAAAGGUUAUUGGUAUUAAUGACUAUCAUGCCUAUGUGCAUCGUGCAGUUCCAUGUUUCUUUAUUUAUGUUACUAAUGUGCAAUGGUUAUAUGAUGUCUAAUUUAGCAUCCUAUUUAUCUGUUUAUUGUUCAUGGGCAUAGAUUCUUCCAUAAUGCAACCAAUUUAAAUUAUUCUGCUAUCGGCUUAUACGUUUGUAUGUAACAACCACAUAUAGUCAUGUGACCUUUUGUAAGCGUACAUUCGUAAUGGUUUCCAUACGUACUUCACCGCGUACUCAAUCCAAAAGCAAAGGCAUUGUCACAGAGAAGUCAAGCAGUCUUGAAGAGACACAGACUCAGUUCAGCCACAAGGCCUCAUGGGACAGUGACUCAAUCCGUGUUUUCCUGCAAUUGAUUGCAAAUGAGAUUACAAAAGGAAACCGACCAUUCCUAGUCCUUAGCCAAGUUGGGUACAAGUCGUUGGCCAGGAAAUUUGAGAAAAAAAAGAAAGAAAACAUGGCCUCAAACAGUUGAAGAAUAAAUACAUGAGUUUGAAAAAAGAGUGGCAAGCGUGGACAAAGUUGAUGGAUUCAAGCAAAGGAGUGUUAGGGAUAGGGUUUGACUGUGACACCGGUAUGUUUUAAGCACCUGAGGAGUGGUGGGACAAGAUAGAAUCGAUAAACAAGGUGUGUGCCAAGUUCAGGAAAAAAAUGUUGGAACAUCGUGACUUGAUGGAGACGGUCUUCAUGGGGGCAUCAGCUACUGGUUAGCACCAUUGGACCCCGGGAGAGAAACUUCCUGAAGCUGCUGAUGACUCAUCGGAUUCUGUGCAUAGUUUGGGAGCCCAGCCAUUUGCUGAUCCGAUACCCGCAGGAGUACAGGACGUGGAUUCAGAUUCUUCACUGGAGCCUGUUUCGAUUGAAAAGGGAAAAAGGAGAAAGACGCCAUCAACAAGUAUUUCAAAGUCGAAGAAGGUAACAAGUGAAGCAUCAGUUAUUGCGAAAAGCAUGAACAAUCUAACAGAUGUGGUGCGUACGAAGAAUCAGCAGGUUACAGUGAGGCACCUCACAGGCAACGAAUCGAUGCACACUAUUUCGAAGUGCAUGCAUCGCCUGACGACUAUUCCAUCCCUGAUUGGUACACUGCUAUUCCAUUUCACCUCGACACUUAUGGACAACGCAGAUUACCGGAGGUGUUGAUGUGCCAGCGUGAUGAUGACCACAUCAUAGGGUGGCUUACACAAAAGCAGCUCCAGUGUACUGCGUCGGCACCGUUUGCGAACCUGUUUGGGGCUCGCCAGAUGUGAUGUAGCGGUGUUAGGAUUGUUGAAGAUGCUUGCCCUUCUCUUGCUUUUGAAAACUUUUACUUAUGUUAUUGUUGGCACUGUAUUAAAACAAGAUGGUUGUGUUUGCAUGUUUUUAUUCCUUCCUUGUUGUUUUUUUUUUCUUGCUAGCUAUGGUGAACAAAACUUUUAGUUAAGUUUGUCGUAGAUAGAAUGGAAGCAUGGUUGUGCGUUUUUUGGGAAAGGAAUGGGAUGCUUCUGUUUUAAUUGAAUGUAUGGCAAUGAAAUGCGCAACGACGGUUUUCUUGCUAGCUUUCGUAUGUCUUUAUUUUGCGAGGAAAACUAUUAUGUUAGUUUGACGUCAUUUUUUGUGGUUGUUACCACCAUAGUCCCCUCUGUAAACAAUAACGACCAUGUUCACAAUCUGUUCAAUUCAUAUCAUUAUGCGUUAGUAAUGACAUCGGUGACGGCAUUACUUACAUUAAAAACAAUGUCGACAUUCUGUAAUUGCAAACUGUUAUUACAUUUGAGUCAAUGAAUCACGUGAAAACUGAUUGAAAUAGUGCCACUCUUGUAGGUUUCGCAUCAACGAAGACGUGAUGAAUCCCUGGGAUGGAAGCAACAAUGACGAUUUAAGGGAAAUGCUUAAUCAAAUGGCCGUACAGCUGCAACAAGAAAACAACUGGACAUUUCUACAAGCAUGCCAGUAUGCGACAGAGUGGUACGAAAAACACAUGGCUAAAACGCCGUGUCGCACUUCGAUAUUGACCGGGCAUGCAUAGAUAUGCGAACUAUAUGCGGGCCAUAUGGGUCGAUUUGAGGAAAAUGUUUACAUGGCGAAGGAAGUUUUUGCUGCUUUGUGUGAGACAUUAGUAAAUGAUUUUGGGUUAUAAGUACGGCAACGUCCACAUGGCUUAGCUGUUGAAGAAAGCGUUGUAAUGUUUAUCCAUGUGUUGCAAAGGAUGCAAAAUCGGCAAAUCCAAGAACGUUUCCAACAUUCAGGGGAGACUGUGUCUCGGCACCUGCAUAACGUAUUAACUUCUAUGAAAGAGUUCACUGUUGUUCAUUGCCGGCCCACAUACAAUCAGCAUCGUAUACAUCUAUACGUGCGGUCUAAAUAUAAAUACCUACCGUUCAAGGACUGUAUUGGAGCAAUAGACGGAACACAUGUAAGUGCAUGGGUUAUGGGGCCAGAUGCGGCAACAUAUUUUGGUAGGAAAUACUGUCACACGCAAAAUAUCAUGGCCGCGUGCGAUUUUGACAUGUGUUUCAUCUUCAUUCGUGCGGAUGGAAAGGAAAAAUGCAUGAUAGUCGCAUCUUUAACGAGAUACUAACAAAUAACAAUGUCUCAUUUCCACAUCCUGAAGAAGGCAAAUAUUAUCUUGUCGAUUCUGGCUAUCCAAACCGGAUAGGUUACCUAGCACCAUUCAAAGGCAGCCGUUACCACCAAUAAGAAUUCCGACGUACUCAAUGGAACAGGACGGCAAACACGCCAAGGGAAUUAUUUAACAAAGUUCACUCGUCGUUACGCAGUGUGGUGGAACGCACUUUCGGUGCCUGGAAAAAUCGAUGGGGGUUUAUUCGAGACAUGCCUCGGUAUGACUUUGCAAAUGUGCAUGUUCAGUUAGUAGGUGCGUCAAUGGCAUUACAUAAUUAUAUACGACGAAACACAGGUAAUCCAACAACUGUUCACCCAAUCUGUGACGAAGAAGAGGCUAUGACAAUAGUAAAUGCCAUACUAGAAGUUGAACACGACGAUGAUGGUUUAAUGGUUGGGGAUGAGGACUCGCAUAUGGCAUUGGUGCGCCUUCGCAUACGCGACAAGUUAUGUUACUUGCGUAAUAACGGAACGUUAGGAAAUAUAUAAUAGUCGACCUAAUUUUCGUAGGGUUGUAACAUUGGUAACACGCGUGGAACAGAUUGUAUUCAAAUAUAUUAUCAUGUACAAUAUGUAUGUGUUUACACGGGAAUAUAACCCCUUUCAGUU
This is a non-coding RNA of Camellia sinensis, 4567 nucleotides long. The record is from RefSeq and is a predicted model, not a curated record. NCBI's taxonomy places the organism in Eukaryota, Viridiplantae, Streptophyta, Magnoliopsida, Ericales, Theaceae.